CACUCCUACGGGAGGCAGCAGUGGGGAAUAUUGGACAAUGGGCGCAAGCCUGAUCCAGCCAUGCCGCGUGAGUGAUGAAGGCCCUAGGGUUGUAAAGCUCUUUCACCGGUGAAGAUAAUGACGGUAACCGGAGAAGAAGCCCCGGCUAACUUCGUGCCAGCAGCCGCGGUAAUACGAAGGGGGCUAGCGUUGUUCGGAUUUACUGGGCGUAAAGCGCACGUAGGCGGACUAUUAAGUCAGGGGUGAAAUCCCGGGGCUCAACCCCGGAACUGCCUUUGAUACUGGUAGUCUUGAGUUCGAGAGAGGUGAGUGGAAUUCCGAGUGUAGAGGUGAAAUUCGUAGAUAUUCGGAGGAACACCAGUGGCGAAGGCGGCUCACUGGCUCGAUACUGACGCUGAGGUGCGAAAGCGUGGGGAGCAAACAGGAUUAGAAACCCUUGUAGUCCCAUGA
This 450-nucleotide ribosomal RNA is filed under the name uncultured organism. RNAcentral's name for it is "partial 16S ribosomal RNA". It matches the Rfam family "Bacterial small subunit ribosomal RNA", at positions 334 to 800 of the family's 1533-position model. The record is from RNAcentral.